This 669-nucleotide ribosomal RNA is filed under the name Flavobacterium sp. AS3.02. RNAcentral's name for it is "bacterial SSU rRNA". It matches the Rfam family "Bacterial small subunit ribosomal RNA", at positions 1 to 677 of the family's 1533-position model. Lineage: Bacteria; Pseudomonadati; Bacteroidota; Flavobacteriia; Flavobacteriales; Flavobacteriaceae. The record is from RNAcentral.
UAGAGUUUGAUCCUGGCUCAGGAUGAACGCUAGCGGCAGGCUUAACACAUGCAAGUCGAGGGGUAGAAGUCUUCGGGCUUUGAGACCGGCGCACGGGUGCGUAACGCGUAUGCAAUCUACCUUUUACAGAGGGAUAGCCCAGAGAAAUUUGGAUUAAUACCUCAUAGUAUUAUGAAAUGGCAUCAUUUUAUAAUUAAAGUCACAACGGUAAAAGAUGAGCAUGCGUCCCAUUAGCUAGUUGGUAAGGUAACGGCUUACCAAGGCUACGAUGGGUAGGGGUCCUGAGAGGGAGAUCCCCCACACUGGUACUGAGACACGGACCAGACUCCUACGGGAGGCAGCAGUGAGGAAUAUUGGACAAUGGGCGCAAGCCUGAUCCAGCCAUGCCGCGUGCAGGAUGACGGUCCUAUGGAUUGUAAACUGCUUUUAUACGAGAAGAAACACUCCAACGUGUUGGAGCUUGACGGUAUCGUAAGAAUAAGGAUCGGCUAACUCCGUGCCAGCAGCCGCGGUAAUACGGAGGAUCCAAGCGUUAUCCGGAAUCAUUGGGUUUAAAGGGUCCGUAGGCGGUUUGGUAAGUCAGUGGUGAAAGCCCAUCGCUCAACGGUGGAACGGCCAUUGAUACUGCCAGACUUGAAUUAUUAGGAAGUAACUAGAAUAUGUAGUGUA